CCUANGGGGGGCAGCAGCUACGAAAACUGCCCAAUGUGGGAAACCACGAGGCGGGCAUUCCGAGUGCCAAGGCAUUGCUUUGGCUGUUCUUUCGCCUAAAAAGCGAGAGAAGUAAGGGCCGGGUAAGACGGGUGCCAGCCGCCGCGGUAAUACCCGCGGCCCGAGUGGUGCUCAUUAUUAUUGAGCUUAAAGCGUCCGUAGCCGGCCUUGUAAAUCUUUGGGUAAAUCGAGCAGCUCAACUGUUCGAAUUCCGAGGAGACUGCAAGGCUCGGGACCGGGAGAGGUUCGAGGUACUCUCGGGGUAGGGGUAAAAUCCUGUAAUCCUGAGAGGACCACCAGUGGCGAAGGCGUCGAACUAGAACGGAUCCGACGGUGAGGGACGAAGCCCUGGGGCGCAAACGGGAUUAGAUACCCCANUANUC
RNAcentral lists this ribosomal RNA (422 nucleotides) under uncultured bacterium. RNAcentral describes it as "bacterial SSU rRNA". It matches the Rfam family "Archaeal small subunit ribosomal RNA", at positions 322 to 746 of the family's 1478-position model. The record is from RNAcentral.